RNA transcript from Phoenix dactylifera (date palm), 2246 nucleotides. It is a transcript of the gene named protein AGENET DOMAIN (AGD)-CONTAINING P1, with no coding region annotated. The record is from RefSeq and is a predicted model, not a curated record. Lineage: Eukaryota; Viridiplantae; Streptophyta; Magnoliopsida; Arecales; Arecaceae.
UUGUACCCAAAAAAAUAAUAUUGCCAUGGAAGUCUUGUCCUUCUCUGCCCUCUAUGCAGCUACGCUCACCGCCACAAGCCCUAAAUGGAGCGCGUUCAGGUGUUCAGGCAAAUAAGAAACCACACCGGCGAUUAGUUAAACCCACCCUAUGGUGAGCAGACCAACUCGCUUUCCGUUAAUACUUAAUACGCUACCUAAUUACACCUCUACCCCCUAUCUCUCAUAAAAUUACGAAAUUGCCCUGCAUCUAGCUUCGUGCCUGCGGCCAUGCCGCUCUUCCCGGCCGGCAUUCACUUCGUCUUCCUUCUUUAGCCUUCGCCCUCUACCCCCUCACCCUUGGAAGCCCUAACCCUAACCCUAAAUCUGGAAGAGGAGAAGAAACCUUAACCCUAGUGUAGGAGGAGAAGCGGCGGAGAUGGCACCGGGGGUCUUCACGACGGGGGACGCGGUGGAGGUGAGCUCGGAUGAGGACGGAUUCCGGGACGCGUGGUUCGAGGCGAAGGUGGCGCGGUACAUGCCCAAGCUCCACCGCUGCACCGUCGUCUACGACGCCAUCAUGGAUGACGCCGACGACUCCCGGUCGCUCCGGGAGACCGUCGACGGCCGCCUUGUCCGCCCCCGACCCCCGUUCCGGCCCCCCGCCGGCGGCCGCUUUGCGCUCCACCAGCCCGUAGACGCCUUCUACAACGACGGGUGGUGGGUUGGGGUGGUGUCGCGGGUGGCGGGGAAGGGGCGGCAGCGGAGGUACUCCGUCGCCUUCCCUUCCACGCGGGAAGAGAUGGAGUUCGCGGCGUCGGAGCUUCGGACUCAUCUCGAGUGGGUCGAUGGGGAGUGGGUCCUACCAGAAUGGAAGGGAACACCAGAGAAGGUAUAUGAGACCGGAACACAAGUAGAAAUUGCCCGUGUGAAAGGAAAUACCCCUAUUGCUUGGCUAUCUGCAGUUGUUGUUCAGGCAAUCUGGAAGAGCAGUUUCUUGGUGGAGUAUAAACACUUUAGGAAUCUUGAUGACACAGAGUUGCUGAGAGAAAUUGUUGAUGUGAAACACAUCAGGCCUUGCCCUCCCCAUGCAUCAAAGGCCAAAUUCGAUUUGCUUGAUGAGGUUGAAGCAUUCUAUGGCAAUGGAUGGUUGCCAGGGGUGGUGGCUAAGAUUCAUACAAGUUCAAAAUACAGAGUUAAGAUUGCUCAUUGGGGCGAGGAAAGAGAAUUUAGUCAUGCAGAGCUGAGGCUUCGUUAUGACCUAGUUAAUGGACAAUGGGUCAAAGCUUCACAGAACAAAUCGGACAUGGAGAUGAGAGAAGGUACCAUGGUGGAGGUUAGCAGUGAUGAUGAAGGCUUUCGUGGAGCUUGGUACACUGCAACAAUCGUCAAGUUAAUUAGGAAGAAGAAGUUCCUUGUAGAGUACCAAAACCUUAGAACAGAUGAUGAAACUAAGCCUUUGACAGAAAUUGUGGAUUUUCAGCAUAUCAGACCCAGUCCUCCUGAAACUCCAGUGGUAGAACAGUUCAAAUUGCUUGAAGAAGUUGAUGCCUUCUACAAUGAUGGAUGGUGGGUAGGGGUGAUCUCAAAGGUUCUGAAAAGUCAGAGAUACAUGGUUUACUUCAAGCCAUGGAGUGAAGAAAUGGAAUUUGGGCACAAAGAGUUGAGGCUUCACCAUGACUGGAUUGGUGGAAGAUGGCUACGGUCUUCUGAGGAAGUAUCUUAAAUGGGGAAAAAACAAUUUGGAUAUUAAAUCCCUAGCAACAGAAGGAAUUCUGUAGGCACUGAAGUUGUAAAUUUAGAAGGUUAUGCCGAAGGACGCCAACAUUUUGCAACUCCUGGAGUAACUUUGAGAUUAUAAGGCAAAAGAAAUUGCCCCAGAUGAAGUAAAGUUGUAUAGGAGUUUAUUCUGUGUGAAUUACAGGUUUCAAAGAGGUUGGGUGUACAACAGUUGCGGCAUGCAGGCUGUGAAGCCACAGCUGAUUGGCCACAAUCCUAAACACAAGUACAAAAUAGAUAUCCCAGAGAUUUUUCUUAUGCCAUCUAGCGGUCCUUAAGCGGGCUGGGUUUUAAUUAUCCUCCUCUUGCUUCCCCAAAAUGUGUAUUCAUAUAAUUUUAAGUUCCUCCACAUGAUCUUUUUCUCUUCAUAGGAUUAACUGCUAUAGUUUCAGUGGUUGUAUGACUCUGCUUGGUAGUUUGUUCAUAGGACGCGCUAAAAAUGCUCGUCUGUGUACAGAAUGGAAAUAUGCUGAACAGGUGCAAUUUGUCUC